GGCGGCGUGCCUAAUACAUGCAAGUAGAACGCACAGUUUAUACCGUAGCUUGCUACACCAUAGACUGUGAGUUGCGAACGGGUGAGUAACGCGUAGGUAACCUGCCUGGUAGCGGGGGAUAACUAUUGGAAACGAUAGCUAAUACCGCAUAAUAUUAAUUAUUGCAUGAUAAUUAAUUGAAAGGUGCAAUUGCACCACUACCAGAUGGACCUGCGUUGUAUUAGCUAGUAGGUGAGGUAACGGCUCACCUAGGCGACGAUACAUAGCCGACCUGAGAGGGUGAUCGGCCACACUGGGACUGAGACACGGCCCAGACUCCUACGGGAGGCAGCAGUAGGGAAUCUUCGGCAAUGGACGAAAGUCUGACCGAGCAACGCCGCGUGAGUGAAGAAGGUUUUCGGAUCGUAAAACUCUGUUGUUAGAGAAGAACAAGUGCUAGAGUAACUGUAAGCGCCCUGGACGG
This 463-nucleotide ribosomal RNA is filed under the name Streptococcus gordonii. RNAcentral's name for it is "bacterial SSU rRNA". It matches the Rfam family "Bacterial small subunit ribosomal RNA", at positions 38 to 475 of the family's 1533-position model. Lineage: Bacteria; Bacillati; Bacillota; Bacilli; Lactobacillales; Streptococcaceae. The record is from RNAcentral.